This 402-nucleotide ribosomal RNA is filed under the name uncultured bacterium. Its description in RNAcentral is "bacterial SSU rRNA". It matches the Rfam family "Bacterial small subunit ribosomal RNA", at positions 356 to 775 of the family's 1533-position model. The record is from RNAcentral.
GAGGAAUAUUGCGCAAUGGGCGAAAGCCAGACGCAGCAACGCCGCGUGGAGGAAGACGGCCUUCGGGUUGUAAACUCCUUUUCUGGGGGAAGAACGAGACGGUACCUCAGGAAGAAGUCUCGGCUAACUACGUGCCAGCAGCCGCGGUAAAACGUAGGAGACGAGCGUUAUCCGGAUUUACUGGGCGUAAAGCGCGCGCAGGCGGUUGGGCAAGUCGUGCGUGAAAGCUCCUGGCUUAACCGGGAGAGGUCGUACGAAACUGCUCGACUGGAGGGCAGGCGAGGGGUGUGGAAUUCCGGGUGUAGUGGUGAAAUGCGUAGAUAUCCGGAGGAACACCAGUGGCGAAGGCGACACCCUGGACUGUACCUGACGCUCAGACGCGAAAGCAUGGGGAGCGAACGG